Molecule: ribosomal RNA, 492 nt
Filed under: uncultured bacterium
Lineage: Bacteria
Description: partial 16S ribosomal RNA
Rfam family: Bacterial small subunit ribosomal RNA
Source: RNAcentral
AGUGAACGCUGGCGGUAGGCCUAACACAUGCAAGUCGAACGGCAACACAGUAAGAUCUUUCUCUUACGGUUGGCGAGUGGCGGACGGGUGAGGAAUGCAUCGGCAUCUUCUUUUUCUUGGGUGAUAACGUAGGGCAACUUACGCUAAUACCUCAUACGACCUACGGCUUAAAUCAAGGGAUCUUCGCACCUUUCGCGAUUCAUUUAGCUGAUGUCGGAUUAGCUAGUUGGCGGGGUAAAGUCACACCAAGGCGACGAUCCGUAGCUGGUCUGAGAGGAUGAUCAGCCACACUGGAACUGAGACACGGUCCAGACUCCUACGGGAGGCAGCAGUGGGGAAUAUUCGACAAUGGGCGCAAGCCUGAUGCAGCCAUACCGCGUGAGUGAAGAAGGCCUUCGGGUUGUAAAGCCCUGUUGUUGGGAAAGAAAAGAAGCAGGUUAAACCACCGACGUUCUGACGGUACCCAAAGAAUAAGCACCGGCUAACUUCGUG